Molecule: ribosomal RNA, 253 nt
Filed under: uncultured bacterium
Lineage: Bacteria
Description: partial 16S ribosomal RNA
Rfam family: Bacterial small subunit ribosomal RNA
Source: RNAcentral
UACGAAGGGGGCUAGCGUUGUUCGGAUUUACUGGGCGUAAAGCGCACGUAGGCGGAUCGUUAAGUCGGGGGUGAAAUCCUGGAGCUCAACUCCAGAACUGCCUUCGAUACUGGCGAUCUUGAGUCCGGAAGAGGUGAGUGGAACUCCUAGUGUAGGGGUGGAAUUCGUAGAUAUUCGCAAGAACACCAGUGGCGAAGGCGGCUCACUGGCCCGAUACUGACGCUGAGGCACGAAAGCGUGGGGAGCAAACAGG